GAUGAACGCUAGCUACAGGCUUAACACAUGCAAGUCGAGGGGCAGCACAGGGUAGCAAUACUUGGGUGGCGACCGGCGCACGGGUGAGUAACGCGUAUGCAACUUACCUAUCAGAGGGGGAUAGCCCGGCGAAAGUCGGAUUAAUACCCCAUGAAACAGGGGUCCCGCAUGGGAAUAUUUGUUAAAGAUUCAUCGCUGAUAGAUAGGCAUGCGUUCCAUUAGGCAGUUGGCGGGGUAACGGCCCACCAAACCGACGAUGGAUAGGGGUUCUGAGAGGAAGGUCCCCCACAUUGGUACUGAGACACGGACCAAACUCCUACGGGAGGCAGCAGUGAGGAAUAUUGGUCAAUGGCCGAGAGGCUGAACCAGCCAAGUCGCGUGAAGGAAGAAGGAUCUAUGGUUUGUAAACUUCUUUAUAGGGAAUAAAGUGGUAGGACGUGUCCUUUUUGUAUGUACCCUAUGAAUAAGCAUCGGCUAACUCCGUG
Molecule: ribosomal RNA, 485 nt
Filed under: uncultured bacterium
Lineage: Bacteria
Description: bacterial SSU rRNA
Rfam family: Bacterial small subunit ribosomal RNA
Source: RNAcentral